CCUACGGGUGGCAGCAGUAGGGAAUCUUCCACAAUGGGCGAAACCCUGAUGGAGCAACGCCGCGUGGGUGAAGAAGGUCUUCGGAUCGUAAAACCCUGUUGUUAGAGAAGAAAGUGCGUGAGGGUAACUGUUCACGUUUCGACGGUAUCUAACCAGAAAGCCCCGGCUAACUACGUGCCAGCAGCCGCGUUAAUACGAAGGGGGCAAGCGUUAUCCGGAUUGAUUGGGUGUAAAGGGAUAUCAGGCGGUCAUUGAGGUUAGAUGUGAAAUCCUUGGGCUUAAUCGAAGUCGUGCAUCGGAAACUGGGAGACUUGAGUGCAGAAGAGGAGAGUGGAACUCCAAGUGUAGCGGUGAAAUGCGUAGAUAUUUGGAGGAACACCAGGGGCGAAGGCGACUCUCUGGUCUGUAACUGACGCUGAGGUUCGAAAGCGUGGGUAGCAAACAGGAUUAGAUACCCGUGUAGUC
Molecule: ribosomal RNA, 465 nt
Filed under: uncultured bacterium
Lineage: Bacteria
Description: partial 16S ribosomal RNA
Rfam family: Bacterial small subunit ribosomal RNA
Source: RNAcentral